ACGCUGGUGGCGGCUACCAUGCAUUUGAGCUGCGAAAGCACUUCGGUGUGAGUAGAUGCGGCGGACGGGUGAGUAACGCGUAUGAAUCUACCUGGUAGUGGGGGACAACUCGGGGAAACUUGAGCUAAUACCGCAUACGCCCUACGGGGUGAAAGCGGGGGACCUUCGGUGCCUCGCGCUAUCAGAUUGAUCCUGCGUUGGAUUAAGAUAGUUGGUGGGGUAAUAGGCUAACAAGUGCGACGAAUCCCAUAACAUUGGUCAUGAAAAUGAAUGAUCCAGACACACCUGGGACUGAGACAAAAGUCCAGGAAUCCAUAACGGGAGUGCAAGCAGUAGUGGGAAAUAUUUGACGACAACUGGGCGACUAGCACUGUAAGCAGCCAAUUGCCGGCGU
Molecule: ribosomal RNA, 394 nt
Filed under: uncultured Gammaproteobacteria bacterium
Lineage: Bacteria; Pseudomonadati; Pseudomonadota; Gammaproteobacteria
Description: bacterial SSU rRNA
Rfam family: Bacterial small subunit ribosomal RNA (bases 19-333)
Source: RNAcentral